AGGAUGAACGCUGGCGGCGUGCCUAAUACAUGCAAGUCGAGCGGUAAGGCCUCUUCGGAGGUACACGAGCGGCGGACGGCUGAGUAACACGUAGGAACGUACCCCAAAGUGAGGGAUAAGCACCAGAAAUGGUGUCUAAUACCGCAUGUGCUCUAAGGAGUAAAGCUCCGGCGCUUUGGGAACGGCCUGCGCAUGAUUAGCUUGUUGGUGAGGUAAUGGCUCACCAAGGCGACGAUCAUUAGCUGGUCUGAGAGGAUGACCAGCCAGACUGGAACUGAGAACGGUCCAGACUCCUACGGGAGGCAGCAGUAGGGAAUUUUCCACAAUGGGCGAAAGCCUGAUGGAGCAACGCCGCGUGCAGGAUGAAGGCUCUAGGGUCGUAAACUGCUUUUAUAUGUGACGAUUAUGACGGUAGCAUAUGAAUAAGGAUCGGCUAACUCCGUGCCAGCAGCCGC
This 455-nucleotide ribosomal RNA is filed under the name uncultured bacterium. RNAcentral's name for it is "SSU rRNA". It matches the Rfam family "Bacterial small subunit ribosomal RNA", at positions 26 to 518 of the family's 1533-position model. The record is from RNAcentral.